CUGCAUGAAGUCGGAAUUGCUAGUAAUCGCAGAUCAGCAUGCUGCGGUGAAUACGUUCCCGGGCCUUGUACACACCGCCCGUCACACCAUGGGAGUCGGUAACACCCGAAGUCGGUAGCCUAACCGUAAGGAGGGCGCCGCCGAAGGUGGGAUUGAUGACUGGGGUGAAGUCGUAACAAGGUAUC
Molecule: ribosomal RNA, 185 nt
Filed under: uncultured bacterium
Lineage: Bacteria
Description: partial 16S ribosomal RNA
Rfam family: Bacterial small subunit ribosomal RNA
Source: RNAcentral